Molecule: non-coding RNA, 185 nt
Filed under: Mycolicibacterium thermoresistibile
Lineage: Bacteria; Bacillati; Actinomycetota; Actinomycetes; Mycobacteriales; Mycobacteriaceae
Source: RNAcentral
GCUAACUUUCUGGCUGCCAGUCGCACCCCGCACCCGGGGUCAGGGAAUCCGGUGCGAAUCCGGAGCUGACGCGCAGCGGUGACGGUGACGGGCCGAGCACGAUGCCACUGGGCGACACCGCCUGGGAAGGCGCUCGGCCCGGUUUGAGCCGAAGCCCGAAGACCUGCUGGCCCUCCCGGCGUUGC